UGAGGAAUAUUGGGCAAUGCCCGCAAGGGUGACCCAGCAACGCCGCGUGGAGGAUGAAUGUCGUAAGAUUGUAAACUCCUGUUAGAGGGGAAGAAUAGUACCGGUUGGACCGGUAUAUGACUGUACCCUCAGAGAAAGCCCCGGCUAACUACGUGCCAGCAGCCGCGGUAAUACGUAGGGGGCAAGCGUUGUCCGGAUUUACUGGGUGUAAAGGGCGCGCAGGCGGGAUAAAAAGUCAGUGGUGAAAUCCUACAGCUUAACUGUAGAACUGCCUUUGAUACUUUUAUUCUUGAGUUCGGGAGAGAGAGACGGAAUUCCAGGUGUAGUGGUGAAAUACGUAGAUAUCUGGAAGAACACCAGUUGCGAAGGCGGUCUCUUGGUCCGACACUGACGCUGAGGCGCGAAAGCGUGGGGAGCGAACA
This 422-nucleotide ribosomal RNA is filed under the name uncultured bacterium. RNAcentral's name for it is "bacterial SSU rRNA". It matches the Rfam family "Bacterial small subunit ribosomal RNA", at positions 355 to 774 of the family's 1533-position model. The record is from RNAcentral.